Molecule: ribosomal RNA, 445 nt
Filed under: uncultured bacterium
Lineage: Bacteria
Description: bacterial SSU rRNA
Rfam family: Bacterial small subunit ribosomal RNA
Source: RNAcentral
AUUGAACGCUGGCGGCAUGCCUUACACAUGCAAGUCGAACGGUAACAGGUCUUCGGAUGCUGACGAGUGGCGAACGGGUGAGUAAUACAUCGGAACGUGCCCGAUCGUGGGGGAUAACGGAGCGAAAGCUUUGCUAAUACCGCAUACGAUCUACGGAUGAAAGCAGGGGACCGCAAGGCCUUGCGCGGACGGAGCGGCCGAUGGCAGAUUAGGUAGUUGGUGGGAUAAAAGCUUACCAAGCCGACGAUCUGUAGCUGGUCUGAGAGGACGACCAGCCACACUGGGACUGAGACACGGCCCAGACUCCUACGGGAGGCAGCAGUGGGGAAUUUUGGACAAUGGGCGAAAGCCUGAUCCAGCCAUGCCGCGUGCAGGAUGAAGGCCUUCGGGUUGUAAACUGCUUUUGUACGGAGGGAAAAAGACUCCUUCUAAUAAAGGGGGUCCG